CCUACGGGGGGCAGCAGUGAGGAAUAUUGGUCAAUGGGCGCUAGCCUGAACCAGCCAAGUAGCGUGAAGGAUGACUGCCCUACGGGUUGUAAACUUCUUUUAUAAAGGAAUAAAGUGAGGCACGUGUGCCUGUUUGUAUGUACUUUAUGAAUAAGGCUCGGCUAACUCCGUGCCAGCAGCCGCGGUAAUACGGAGGAACCGAGCGUUAUCCGGAUUUAUUGGGUUUAAAGGGAGCGUAGAUGGGUUGUUAAGUCCAUUGUGAAAGUUUGCGGCUCAAACGUAAAAUUGCAAUUGAUACUGGCAGCCUUGAGUACAGUUGAGGUAGGCGGAAUUCGUGGUGUAGCGGUGAAAUGCUUAGAUAGCACGAAGAACUCCGAUUGCGAAGGCAGCUUACUAAACUGCCACUGACAUUGAUGCUCGAAAGUGUGGGUAUCAAACAGGAUUAGAUACCCCUGUAGUC
RNAcentral lists this ribosomal RNA (460 nucleotides) under uncultured bacterium. RNAcentral's name for it is "partial 16S ribosomal RNA". It matches the Rfam family "Bacterial small subunit ribosomal RNA", at positions 338 to 795 of the family's 1533-position model. The record is from RNAcentral.